CAGCAGCCGCGGGAAUACGUAGGGUGCAAGCGUUAAUCGGAAUUACUGGGCGUAAAGCGUGCGCAGGCGGUUAUAUAAGUCAGAUGUGAAAUCCCCGGGCUCAACCUGGGAACUGCAUUUGAGACUGUAUGGCUAGAGUGUGUCAGAGGGGGGUAGAAUUCCACGUGUAGCAGUGAAAUGCGUAGAUAUGUGGAGGAAUACCGAUGGCGAAGGCAGCCCCCUGGGAUAACACUGACGCUCAUGCACGAAAGCGUGGGGAGCAAACAGGAUUAGAUACCCGCGUAGUCCCUGUCUCUUAUAC
RNAcentral lists this ribosomal RNA (301 nucleotides) under uncultured bacterium. RNAcentral's name for it is "partial 16S ribosomal RNA". It matches the Rfam family "Bacterial small subunit ribosomal RNA", at positions 509 to 807 of the family's 1533-position model. The record is from RNAcentral.